This 492-nucleotide ribosomal RNA is filed under the name uncultured bacterium. Its description in RNAcentral is "partial 16S ribosomal RNA". It matches the Rfam family "Bacterial small subunit ribosomal RNA", at positions 29 to 507 of the family's 1533-position model. The record is from RNAcentral.
AGUGAACGCUGGCGGUAGGCCUAACACAUGCAAGUCGAACGGCAGCACAGUAAGAGCUUGCUCUUACGGGUGGCGAGUGGCGGACGGGUGAGGAAUACAUCGGAAUCUACUUUUUCGUGGGGGAUAACGUAGGGAAACUUACGCUAAUACCGCAUACGACCUACGGGUGAAAGCAGGGGAUCUUCGGACCUUGCGCGAUUGAAUGAGCCGAUGUCGGAUUAGCUAGUUGGCGGGGUAAAGGCCCACCAAGGCGACGAUCCGUAGCUGGUCUGAGAGGAUGAUCAGCCACACUGGAACGGAGACACGGUCCAGACUCCUACGGGAGGCAGCGGUGGGGAAUAUUGGACAAUGGGCGCAAGCCUGAUCCAGCCAUACCGCGUGGGUGAAGAAGGCCUUCGGGUUUUAAAGCCCUUUUGUUGGGAAAGAAAAGCAGCAGGUUAAUACCCCGCUGUUCUGACGGUACCCAAAGAAUAAGCACCGGCUAACUUCGUG